Long non-coding RNA from Apis florea (little honeybee), 391 nucleotides. RefSeq lists it as uncharacterized. NCBI's taxonomy places the organism in Eukaryota, Metazoa, Arthropoda, Insecta, Hymenoptera, Apidae. The record is from RefSeq and is a predicted model, not a curated record.
UGCGUCGAUAGUAUAUUAUACGAGGAGACGAUAUAUUCCAUCGUUCACGCCUACGUGAUGUCAUGUGCACGUCAGAAAUGCCGACCUUGCGGCUGCGGCUCAAGUCAGUGCACGCGUAAUGCGAUGCAUUUGUAUUGACCAAGCCUUUCGGCCGAUCCCACCAUUGCUUUGCGCUGAUAAGCAUACCUACGCUAUGCACAACUUAUAUGCAUGACCGAGCAUACGCGUGGUAUAUAGGGAAUUCAAGAUAACUCAUGAAAUUCCAAAAGAUGAAUAGUUCUACAAGCCUUAGUAAUGAUUGUGACUGAAAAAGGAUAUUUAGGUCAUUGGUAAAUGACCAUAUAUUUCAGACCAAUCAAUGAAUCAAGUUUAUAAAGGAAGAAAAAAAAGA